Non-coding RNA from Cinara cedri, 238 nucleotides. NCBI's taxonomy places the organism in Eukaryota, Metazoa, Arthropoda, Insecta, Hemiptera, Aphididae. The record is from the annotation of a GenBank genome assembly.
GAUAUAAUGUGACCGGUCUUAUGUUAACUUGGUUUUUGUUCACUUGCUAGAAUGUCAUAAAGUGAUAGCGUCAGUGUUUGGGAAUGAUUUAUACCUUGUGACUAAUUCAUUCUAAGUUUUUUUUCUUGUUUUUAAAAUUCAAAAUGAGCAAACUUGAAAGAGGAUGUAUAGAAAACACCUUGAUGCAAUCAGUGAUGAUGAAGUUUAGAGUGGUGUGUCAGAUGAUGAAAAUGCUGCA